UACGUAGGGAGCAAGCGUUGUUCGGAUUUACUGGGCGUAAAGGGCGCGUAGGCGGCAAUUCAAGUCAGCUGUGAAAUCUCCGGGCUUAACUCGGAACGGUCAGCUGAUACUGCUUUGCUAGAGUGCAGAAGGGGCAAUCGGAAUUCUUGGUGUAGCGGUGAAAUGCGUAGAUAUCAAGAGGAACACCUGAGGUGAAGGCGGGUUGCUGGGCUGACACUGACGCUGAGGCGCGAAAGCUAGGGUAGCAAACGGG
Molecule: ribosomal RNA, 253 nt
Filed under: uncultured bacterium
Lineage: Bacteria
Description: partial 16S ribosomal RNA
Rfam family: Bacterial small subunit ribosomal RNA
Source: RNAcentral